This 402-nucleotide unclassified non-coding RNA is filed under the name plant metagenome. Its description in RNAcentral is "partial contains 5.8S ribosomal RNA, internal transcribed spacer 2, and large subunit ribosomal RNA". It matches the Rfam family "Bacterial small subunit ribosomal RNA", at positions 358 to 777 of the family's 1533-position model. The record is from RNAcentral.
GGAAUAUUGCACAAUGGGCGAAAGCCUGAUGCAGCAACGCCGCGUGAGUGAUGAAGGCCUUCGGGUUGUAAAGCUCUGUCUUUUGGGACGAUAAUGACGGUACCAAAGGAGGAAGCCACGGCUAACUACGUGCCAGCAGCCGCGGUAAUACGUAGGUGGCAAGCGUUGUCCGGAUUUACUGGGCGUAAAGGAUGCGUAGGUGGAUAUUUAAGUGGGAUGUGAAAUACCCGAGCUCAACUUGGGUGCUGCAUUCCAAACUGGAUAUCUAGAGUGCAGGAGAGGUAAGUGGAAUUCCUAGUGUAGCGGUGAAAUGCGUAGAGAUUAGGAAGAACACCAGUGGCGAAGGCGACUUACUGGACUGUAACUGACACUGAGGCAUGAAAGCGUGGGGAGCAAACAGGA